Molecule: ribosomal RNA, 253 nt
Filed under: uncultured bacterium
Lineage: Bacteria
Description: partial 16S ribosomal RNA
Rfam family: Bacterial small subunit ribosomal RNA
Source: RNAcentral
UACGUAGGGUGCAAGCGUUAAUCGGAAUUACUGGGCGUAAAGCGUGCGCAGGCGGUUGUGUAAGUCAGAGGUGAAAUCCCCGGGCUCAACCUGGGAACUGCCUUUGAGACUGUGCAACUAGAGGAUGGCAGAGGGGGGUAGAAUUCCACGUGUAGCAGUGAAAUGCGUAGAGAUGUGGAGGAAUACCGAUGGCGAAGGCAGCCCCCUGGGCUAUAACUGACGCUCAUGCACGAAAGCGUGGGGAGCAAACAGG